CCUACGGGUGGCAGCAGUGGGGAAUAUUACGCAAUGGGCGAAAGCCUGACGCAGGGACGCCGCGUGAGGGAUGAAGGUCUUCGGAUCGUAAACCUCUGGCAGCAGGGAAGAACGGUCACUGGGCUAAUCAGCAGUGAAUUGACGGUACCUGCAAAGGAAGCACCGGCUAACCCCGUGCCAGCAGCCGCGGUAAUACGGAGGGUGCGAGCGUUAAUCGGAAUUCCUGGGCGUAAAGCGCUCGUAGGCGGUAUGUCAAGUCAAGGGUGAAAUCCCCGCGCUCAACGUGGGAACUGCCUUUGAACCUGGCAACCUGGAGUGUGUUAGAGGGUAGUGGAAUUCCAUGUGU
RNAcentral lists this ribosomal RNA (346 nucleotides) under uncultured bacterium. RNAcentral describes it as "partial 16S ribosomal RNA". It matches the Rfam family "Bacterial small subunit ribosomal RNA", at positions 338 to 676 of the family's 1533-position model. The record is from RNAcentral.